AUAUAUUGUAUGCUCCUAGCUUGUCACAAAUAUACUCAAUUCUAGUCCUUUAGAAAGAUUUAGAGAGAAUGUCUGCUAACUGAUAAUUUGAAUUGAUAAAACUAGUAGCAAUACAUUCAGACUUGAUAUUUUGUCAAAUAAAAUGACAAUCUAUCUCUAUGUGCUUCGUCCUCUGAUGAAACACAAGAUUAGAAGCAAUAUAUAGUGCAGUUUGAUUGUACAAAUCAACUUUGUUUGUUCAUCACCUCCACAUUUUA
RNAcentral lists this unclassified non-coding RNA (257 nucleotides) under Hevea brasiliensis (rubber tree). Lineage: Eukaryota; Viridiplantae; Streptophyta; Magnoliopsida; Malpighiales; Euphorbiaceae. The record is from RNAcentral.